AUAAUGGGUCAGCGACUUAUAUUCUGUAGCAAGGUUAACCGAAUAGGGGAGCCGAAGGGAAACCGAGUCUUAACUGGGCGUUAAGUUGCAGGGUAUAGACCCGAAACCCGGUGAUCUAGCCAUGGGCAGGUUGAAGGUUGGGUAACACUAACUGGAGGACCGAACCGACUAAUGUUGAAAAAUUAGCGGAUGACUUGUGGCUGGGGGUGAAAGGCCAAUCAAACCGGGAGAUAGCUGGUUCUCCCCGAAAGCUAUUUAGGUAGCGCCUCGUGAAUUCAUCUCCGGGGGUAGAGCACUGUUUCGGCAAGGGGGUCAUCCCGACUUACCAACCCGAUGCAAACUGCGAAUACCGGAGAAUGUUAUCACGGGAGACACACGGCGGGUGCUAACGUCCGUCGUGAAGAGGGAAACAACCCAGACCGCCAGCUAAGGUCCCAAAGUCAUGGUUAAGUGGGAAACGAUGUGGGAAGGCCCAGACAGCCAGGAUGUUGGCUUAGAAGCAGCCAUCAUUUAAAGAAAGCGUAAUAGCUCACUGGUCGAGUCGGCCUGCGCGGAAGAUGUAACGGGGCUAAACCAUGCACCGAAGCUGCGGCAGCGACACUGUGUGUUGUUGGGUAGGGGAGCGUUCUGUAAGCCUGCGAAGGUGUGCUGUGAGGCAUGCUGGAGGUAUCAGAAGUGCGAAUGCUGACAUAAGUAACGAUAAAGCGGGUGAAAAGCCCGCUCGCCGGAAGACCAAGGGUUCCUGUCCAACGUUAAUCGGGGCAGGGUGAGUCGACCCCUAAGGCGAGGCCGAAAGGCGUAGUCGAUGGGAAACAGGUUAAUAUUCCUGUACUUGGUGUUACUGCGAAGGGGGGACGGAGAAGGCUAUGUUGGCCGGGCGACGGUUGUCCCGGUUUAAGCGUGUAGGCUGGUUUUCCAGGCAAAUCCGGAAAAUCAAGGCUGAGGCGUGAUGACGAGGCACUACGGUGCUGAAGCAACAAAUGCCCUGCUUCCAGGAAAAGCCUCUAAGCAUCAGGUAACAUCAAAUCGUACCCCAAACCGACACAGGUGGUCAGGUAGAGAAUACCAAGGCGCUUGAGAGAACUCGGGUGAAGGAACUAGGCAAAAUGGUGCCGUAACUUCGGGAGAAGG
Molecule: ribosomal RNA, 1131 nt
Filed under: Escherichia coli
Lineage: Bacteria; Pseudomonadati; Pseudomonadota; Gammaproteobacteria; Enterobacterales; Enterobacteriaceae
Description: partial 23S ribosomal RNA
Rfam family: Bacterial large subunit ribosomal RNA
Source: RNAcentral